Long non-coding RNA from Magnolia sinica, 367 nucleotides. RefSeq lists it as uncharacterized. The record is from RefSeq and is a predicted model, not a curated record. The transcript has 3 exons. Lineage: Eukaryota; Viridiplantae; Streptophyta; Magnoliopsida; Magnoliales; Magnoliaceae.
UAACAUCAUCUUGUUAUUUCAUUGUAACAGAUAUGGGCCGUUGAGAGAGUACCAGCUCUCCAACAAUGUAUAAUUUCAUACGUUCCCUUCCAAUUUUCACGAAUCAUAUAAUAUCGGGGAUGGAAGCUUCCGAGGUAUAAGAAGAUUCAUGAAAUUAUAGAGAGUAAAGAUGCUGAGAUCAUUGUUAACUUAGAGCCGACCACAGAGGAGUUGGAGACGGAGUUUGUUCGUUUGGCCCGUGAUAUAUUUGAUAGCACUAAAGAUGAAGAUGAUGAAGAUAUGGAGGAGAAAUCGGGACAGGGAGAGGGGGAAGAGGGUGGAGAGGGAGAAGAAGGGGGAGAGGAAGACAGUAUUGGUGAUGGAGAGG